GUGGGGAAUCUUGCGCAAUGGGCGAAAGCCUGACGCAGCCAUGCCGCGUGGAUGAUGAAGGUCUUAGGAUUGUAAAAUCCUUACACCGGUGAAGAUAAUGACUGUAGCCGGAGAAGAAGCCCCGGCUAACUUCGUGCCAGCAGUCGCGGUAAUACGAAGGGGGCUAGCGUUGCUCGGAUUUACUGGGCGUAAAGGGCGCGUAGGCGGACAUUUAAGUCAGGGGUGAAAUCCCGGGGCUCAACCUCGGAACUGCCUUUGAUACUGGGUGUCUUGAGUAUGAGAGAGGUGUGUGGAACUCCGAGUGUAGAGGUGAAAUUCGUAGAUAUUCGGAAGAACACCAGUGGCGAAGGCGACACACUGGCUCAUUACUGACGCUGAGGCGCGAAAGCGUGGGGAGCAAACAGGAUUAGAAACCCUAGUAGUCC
This 425-nucleotide ribosomal RNA is filed under the name uncultured bacterium. Its description in RNAcentral is "partial 16S ribosomal RNA". It matches the Rfam family "Bacterial small subunit ribosomal RNA", at positions 354 to 796 of the family's 1533-position model. The record is from RNAcentral.